This 2196-nucleotide long non-coding RNA is filed under the name Homo sapiens (human). RNAcentral's name for it is "Pvt1 oncogene, transcript variant 14 (PVT1)". The stretch from base 34 to 211 matches the Rfam family "Pvt1 oncogene conserved region 1". The record is from RNAcentral. Lineage: Eukaryota; Metazoa; Chordata; Mammalia; Primates; Hominidae.
CCCGCGCUCCUCCGGGCAGAGCGCGUGUGGCGGCCGAGCACAUGGGCCCGCGGGCCGGGCGGGCUCGGGGCGGCCGGGACGAGGAGGGGCGACGACGAGCUGCGAGCAAAGAUGUGCCCCGGGACCCCCGGCACCUUCCAGUGGAUUUCCUUGCGGAAAGGAUGUUGGCGGUCCCUGUGACCUGUGGAGACACGGCCAGAUCUGCCCUCCAGCCUGAUCUUUUGGCCAGAAGGAGAUUAAAAAGAUGCCCCUCAAGAUGGCUGUGCCUGUCAGCUGCAUGGAGCUUCGUUCAAGUAUUUUCUGAGCCUGAUGGAUUUACAGUGAUCUUCAGUGGUCUGGGGAAUAACGCUGGUGGAACCAUGCACUGGAAUGACACACGCCCGGCACAUUUCAGGAUACUAAAAGUGGUUUUAAGGGAGGCUGUGGCUGAAUGCCUCAUGGAUUCUUACAGCUUGGAUGUCCAUGGGGGACGAAGGACUGCAGCUGGCUGAGAGGGUUGAGAUCUCUGUUUACUUAGAUCUCUGCCAACUUCCUUUGGGUCUCCCUAUGGAAUGUAAGACCCCGACUCUUCCUGGUGAAGCAUCUGAUGCACGUUCCAUCCGGCGCUCAGCUGGGCUUGAGCUGACCAUACUCCCUGGAGCCUUCUCCCGAGGUGCGCGGGUGACCUUGGCACAUACAGCCAUCAUGAUGGUACUUUAAGUGGAGGCUGAAUCAUCUCCCCUUUGAGCUGCUUGGCACGUGGCUCCCUUGGUGUUCCCCUUUUACUGCCAGGACACUGAGAUUUGGAGAGACACUUUCGCCUGUCAGUUCUGCCAGUUGGGAAGUGUCAUCCCCACUGUGUGAAUGUGGAAGGGAUAAUGAAGAAUUUCCACGGCUUGCCUAGGGUCGUUGAGCAAUGUGGAAGGGAUCAUGGAGAAUUUCCAUGGCUUGCCUAAGGUCAUCAAGCUGGCAUCUCAACCCAGGUUCAUCUGCCUGUGAUGACAGGAAAGAAAUCAGAAUCCUGUUACACCUGGGAUUUAGGCACUUUCAAUCUGAAAAAAUACAUAUCCUUUCAGCACUCUGGACGGACUUGAGAACUGUCCUUACGUGACCUAAAGCUGGAGUAUUUUGAGAUUGGAGAAUUAAGAGUGUGGGCACCCUGGCUUCAAGCUCACGAGAAACCAGAAGGAAGUCACUGUGCAUAGCCAUCCCCUAAGAAGAGGGCAUUCCUGCUCUUCCUUCUCCAUGGCUAGAGGAUCUACAUGAACUAUUUAGAUUUUUUCUACCUGGGAGAUUUAACUCCUCUCUCCUAUUUAUUUAUUUAUAUAUCAGCAUGGACUUGCAGGCCAACAGAGAUUUUGAGAAACACAUUGAAGGAUCUGUUAACACUUGAUAUACCCAAUAAAAGCAGUGGUUGUGCCAGUGCUGAUCUGUCUUGAUGUGAAUGUGAACAAUGGGAACCUGAGCUGAGCAGUUAAUGCUAGGGUGACAGAAACUGGACCUCUCCCAAGACAUGUGACAGAGUAAUACAGCAGCCAACUUCUUCGCCAAAUUAAAGUUUUACAAGAUUUAACCUGUCAUCAAGACCUGGGAUUUUGGUGAGCCAGUCUUGGUGCUCUGUGUUCACCUGGUUCAUCUGAGGAGCUGCAUCUACCCUGCCCAUGCCAUAGAUCCUGCCCUGUUUGCUUCUCCUGUUGCUGCUAGUGGACAUGAGGUAACCACAGCCUAGUUCUGUGAUAAGCUCUUCACACCUGUACCCAUAUGGACUGUGGGAGAGUUUCUCUGAUAUGGACUGUGAUGCGGAAGGACAGAAUAACGGGCUCCCAGAUUCACAAGCCCCACCAAGAGGAUCACCCCAGGAACGCUUGGAGGCUGAGGAGUUCACUGAGGCUACUGCAUCUUGAGACUCAGGAUGAAGACCCAGCUUGGGGCUGUCAAAGGUUUUUUGCAUGUCUGACACCCAUGACUCCACCUGGACCUUAUGGCUCCACCCAGAAGCAAUUCAGCCCAACAGGAGGACAGCUUCAACCCAUUACGAUUUCAUCUCUGCCCCAACCACUCAGCAGCAAGCACCUGUUACCUGUCCACCCCCACCCCUUCCCCCAAACUGCCUUUGAAAAAUCCCUAACCUAUGAGCUUUGAAUAAGAUGAGUACGAACUUCAUCGCCCACGUGGCGUGGCCGGCCUCGUGUCUAUUAAAUUCUUUUUCUACUACAA